AAAUGUUGAGCCUUUAUUUAUGAGAUAGACCGAUAGAGUGUCUUCUAACAUUUUAUAUAUUAGAGCAUCUUCAACUUCACUCUAUAUUUUAUUCUAAAAUAUAGUUUGAAAUAAGAAAAGCUAUAAUUAUACUAUUUUUGCCACUUCAUAAUGAAAUAAAAAAAUAAGCUUACUUGAAAAAUGAAAAAUAGUUUUAUUGUUGUUAAUUCACUC
This 213-nucleotide long non-coding RNA is filed under the name Brassica napus (rape). Its description in RNAcentral is "long non-coding RNA (BNAP_LNC022080)". Lineage: Eukaryota; Viridiplantae; Streptophyta; Magnoliopsida; Brassicales; Brassicaceae. The record is from RNAcentral.